Molecule: ribosomal RNA, 266 nt
Filed under: uncultured archaeon
Lineage: Archaea
Description: partial 16S ribosomal RNA
Rfam family: Archaeal small subunit ribosomal RNA
Source: RNAcentral
AGUCACUGACAUUAGAUACCCGCGUAGUCCCAGCCGUAAACUAUGCGCGUUAGGUGUAUCGGUGACCACGAGUUACCCGAGGUGCCGAAGGGAAACCGUGAAACGUGCCGCCUGGGAAGUACGGUCGCAAGGCUGAAACUUAAAGGAAUUGGCGGGGGAGCACCACAACAGGUGGAGCCUGCGGUUUAAUUGGACUCAACGCCGGGAAGCUCACCGGAUAGGACAGCAGAAUGAUUGCCGGGCUGAAGACCCUGUAUGACUAGCUG